RNAcentral lists this ribosomal RNA (53 nucleotides) under Annulohypoxylon nitens. RNAcentral's name for it is "partial 18S ribosomal RNA". Lineage: Eukaryota; Fungi; Ascomycota; Sordariomycetes; Xylariales; Hypoxylaceae. The record is from RNAcentral.
AGGUGAACCUGCGGAAGGAUCAUUCCGUAGGUGAACCUGCGGAGGGAUCAUUA